This 1207-nucleotide ribosomal RNA is filed under the name metagenome. RNAcentral describes it as "SSU rRNA". It matches the Rfam family "Eukaryotic small subunit ribosomal RNA", at positions 146 to 1383 of the family's 1831-position model. The record is from RNAcentral.
ACCGUGGUAAUUCUAGAGCUAAUACAUGCUUAAACGCCCGACUUUAUGGAAGGGUGGUAUUUAUUAGACUGAAGCCAAUAUUCCUUGUGUCUAUUGCGGUGAUUCAUAAUAACUGAUCGAAUCUCUUUUUGAGAUAAAUCAUUCAAGUUUCUGCCCUAUCAGCUUUCGAUGGUAGUGUAUUGGACUACCAUGGCAGUAACGGGUAACGAAGAAUUAGGGUUCGAUUUCGGAGAGGGAGCAUGAGAAACGGCUACCACAUCUAAGGAAGGCAGCAGGCGCGUAAAUUACCCAAUCCUGACUCAGGGAGGUAGUGACAAGAAAUAGCAAACCGGGAACCUCAUGGUUUCACGGUAUUGCAAUGAGAACAAUUUAAAACCCUUAGCGAGAAUCAAGUGGAGGACAAGUCUGGUGCCAGCACCCGCGGUAAUUCCAGCUCCACUAGCGUAUAUUAAAGUUGUUGCAGUUAAAAAGCUCGUAGUUGAACCUCUGUCUGGGGCUAGUUUUGGCUUUGGUCAGGCUAGUUCUAGGCAUCCGCCUACAAGACUUAGAGGGCAUUCAGUUGUUCACUAGGAGGAGUAGGCAUUUUACUUUGAAAAAAUUAGAGUGUUUAAGGCAGGCAAUCGCCCGCAUAUAUUAGCAUGGAAUAAUAGAAUAGGACACUUUUCCAUUUCGUUGGUUAUUGGAAUCGUGUAAUGAUUAAUAGGGACAGUUGUGGGCAUUUGUAUUUAAUUGUCAGAGGUGAAAUUCUUGGAUUUAUUAAAGACAAACUAACGCGAAAGCAUUUGCCAAGGAUGUUUUCAUUAAUCAAGAACGAAAGUUAGGGGAUCAAAGACGAUCAGAUACCGUCCUAGUCUUAACUAUAAACUAUUCCGACUCAAUGUUUGACUGGCUUAUAUAACCAGUUGAGCGUUGUAUGAGAAAUCAAAGUCUUUAGGUUCUGGGGGGAGUAUGGUUGCAAAGCUGAAACUUAAAGGAAUUGACGGAAGAGCACAACCAGGAGUGGAUUCUGCGGCUUAAUUUGACUCAACACGGGGAAACUUACCAGGUUAAAACAAUAGUGGGAUUGACAGUUUGAGAGCGCUUUCUUGAUUGGUUGGGUGGUGGUGCAUGGCCGUUCUUAGUUGGUGGAGUGAUUUGUCUGCUUAAUUGCGUUAACGAACGAGACCUUAACCUGCUUACUAGACUGGCGAUCAUCAAUCGUUAGCUC